CCUACGGGAGGCAGCAGUGAGGGAUAUUGGUCAAUGGGGGAAACCCUGAACCAGCAACGCCGCGUGAGGGAAGACGGUUUUCGGAUUUUAAACCUCUGUCCUCUGUGAAGAUAAUGACGGUAGCAGAGGCGGAAGCUCCGGCUAACUACGUGCCAGCAGCCGCGGUAAUACGUAGGGAGCGAGCGUUGUCCGGAUUUACUGGGUGUAAAGGGUGCGUAGGCGGGUAAGUAAGUCAGAAGUGAGAUCCAUGGGCUUAACCCAUGAACUGCUUUUGAAACUGUUCAUCUAGAGUGAAGUAGCGGUAGGCGGAAUGUACGGUGUAGCGGUGAAAUGCGUAGAGAUCG
This 344-nucleotide ribosomal RNA is filed under the name uncultured bacterium. RNAcentral's name for it is "partial 16S ribosomal RNA". It matches the Rfam family "Bacterial small subunit ribosomal RNA", at positions 338 to 699 of the family's 1533-position model. The record is from RNAcentral.